This 64-nucleotide transfer RNA is filed under the name Sceleocantha glabricollis. RNAcentral's name for it is "tRNA-Asp". Lineage: Eukaryota; Metazoa; Arthropoda; Insecta; Coleoptera; Cerambycidae. The record is from RNAcentral.
AAAAUUUAGUUAAAAAAUAACAUUAGUUUGUCAAGCUAAAAUUAUUAGAAAUUAAUAAUUUUUA